This 159-nucleotide small nuclear RNA is filed under the name Erinaceus europaeus (western European hedgehog). Its description in RNAcentral is "U1 spliceosomal RNA". It matches the Rfam family "U1 spliceosomal RNA". From Rfam's summary of the family: U1 is a small nuclear RNA (snRNA) component of the spliceosome (involved in pre-mRNA splicing). Its 5' end forms complementary base pairs with the 5' splice junction, thus defining the 5' donor site of an intron. There are significant differences in sequence and secondary structure between metazoan and yeast U1 snRNAs, the latter being much longer (568 nucleotides as compared to 164 nucleotides in human). Lineage: Eukaryota; Metazoa; Chordata; Mammalia; Eulipotyphla; Erinaceidae. The record is from Rfam by way of RNAcentral.
AUACUUACCUGGCAGGGGAGAUACCAUGAUCACGAAGGUGGUUUUCCCAGGGCGAGGCUUAUCCAUUGCACUCCGGAUGUGCUGACCCCUGCGAUUUCCCCAAAUGUGGGAAACUCGACUGCAUAAUUUGUGGUAGUGGGGGACUGCGUUUGCGCUCUA